Molecule: ribosomal RNA, 431 nt
Filed under: uncultured bacterium
Lineage: Bacteria
Description: bacterial SSU rRNA
Rfam family: Bacterial small subunit ribosomal RNA
Source: RNAcentral
AUGAACGCUAGCGGUGCGCCUAACACAUGCAAGUCGAGCGCGUAGCAAUACGAGCGGCGAACGGGUGAGUAACACGUUGGAACCUGCCCCGAACUCAGGGAUACCCCUCGGAAACGAGGGCUAAUACCGGAUAGUCCCGAAAGGGUAAAGAUUUUUCGGUUCGGGAGGGGCCUGCGCAAUAUCAGCUAGUUGGUAAGGUAACGGCUUACCAAGGCUAUGACGUUUAGUUGGUCUGAGAGGAUGACCAGCCACAAUGGAACUGAGACGCGGUCCAUACUCCUACGGGAGGCAGCAGUGAGGAAUCUUCCGCAAUGGGCGAAAGCCUGACGGAGCGACACCGCGUGAAGGAUGAAGGCCUUUUGGUUGUAAACUUCUUUUCUGAGGGAAUAAAUGAUGAAUUUACCUCAGGAAUAAGCACCGGCUAACUACGU